Molecule: ribosomal RNA, 423 nt
Filed under: Triticum aestivum (bread wheat)
Lineage: Eukaryota; Viridiplantae; Streptophyta; Magnoliopsida; Poales; Poaceae
Description: partial small subunit ribosomal RNA
Source: RNAcentral
AUGGGCUUCGGGCACACAUCGUCGGCCUGCACUGCCGCCUUCGUAGACCCAAGUUUCUCUCCCCGCUUUGUCUGGUUUCCUCUAGAAAAAGGAAACAAUUCGUUUGGGAGCCGGAGAUUUGCAACAAAAAAAGGAGCUGGAGAGGAUAAGGUGAAAUCGGCGGCACCGCCGCCGCCGCUACGGGGCACGAGCAUGGAGGCGGCUGGGAUAGUGUGGUGCCGCCGCCGCUACGGAGCACGGAGGCGGCUGGGAACAGGGGGGAGACGAUGGCGGCCUGAGCGGGCGGCGUUGGGCGCCAUGGGGUUCAACAUCUCGCUGGCCUUGACUCACGCACGUCCCGUUCCGCUCAGGGCACAUCCUGCCUCAGCAGCCACACCUCUCCCUCCAAGCACAGAGCAUGCUGCCCCCACCCCCGUACAAUGA